AGAGUUUGAUCCUGGCUCAGAACGAACGCUGGCGGCAGGCUUAACACAUGCAAGUCGAGCGCCCUUUUCAGAGGGAGCGGCAGACGGGUGAGUAACGCGUGGGAAUCUACCUAUCUCUAGGGAAUAACUCAGGGAAACUUGUGCUAAUACCCUAUACGUCCUUCGGGAGAAAGAUUUAUCGGAGAUGGAUGAGCCCGCGUUGGAUUAGCUAGUUGGUGGGGUAAAGGCCUACCAAGGCGACGAUCCAUAGCUGGUCUGAGAGGAUGAUCAGCCACACUGGGACUGAGACACGGCCCAGACUCCUACGGGAGGCAGCAGUGGGGAAUAUUGGACAAUGGGCGCAAGCCUGAUCCAGCCAUGCCGCGUGAGUGAUGAAGGCCCUAGGGUUGUAAAGCUCUUUCACCGGUGAAGAUAAUGACGGUAACCGGAGAAGAAGCCCCGGCUAACUUCGUGCCAGCAGCCGCGGUAAUACGAAGGGGGCUAGCGUUGUUCGGAUUUACUGGGCGUAAAGCGCACGUAGGCGGAUUGGUCAGUUAGGGGUGAAAUCCCAGGGCUCAACCCUGGAACUGCCUUUAAUACUGCCAGUCUUUGAGUAUGGAAGAGGUGAGUGGAAUUCCGAGUGUAGAGGUGAAAUUCGUAGAUAUUCGGAGGAGCCCCUGUUGGCCAAAAGCGGGCUCUCUGGUUCCUUUUACUGGACGUUUAAGGUUGCGAAAAGACGUGGGGGA
RNAcentral lists this ribosomal RNA (725 nucleotides) under Ochrobactrum sp. KAs3-R18. Its description in RNAcentral is "bacterial SSU rRNA". It matches the Rfam family "Bacterial small subunit ribosomal RNA", at positions 8 to 770 of the family's 1533-position model. Lineage: Bacteria; Pseudomonadati; Pseudomonadota; Alphaproteobacteria; Hyphomicrobiales; Brucellaceae. The record is from RNAcentral.